UGCCUUUGAUGAAUUGCCAUGCUAAUACUGAAUUCCCAGUUGCCGACAGCACUUCUGUGGAAUUUUGUGAAUGGACUUUCCUUUUUCUGAGGCAC
Molecule: small nucleolar RNA, 95 nt
Organism: Sceloporus undulatus (fence lizard)
Lineage: Eukaryota; Metazoa; Chordata; Lepidosauria; Squamata; Phrynosomatidae
Source: RefSeq, a predicted model, not a curated record